GAUGAAUGCUGGCGGCGCGCCUAACACAUGCAAGUCGAGCGGAAAGGCCCUUCGGGGUACUCGAGCGGCGGACGGCUGAGUAACGCGUGGGAACAUGCCCCAAAGUGAGGAAUAACUGCCCGAAAGGGUAGCUAAUGCCGCAUAUGAUCUUAGGAUUAAAGGAUUUAUCCGCUUUGGGAGUGGCCCGCGUACGAUUAGGUAGUUGGUGAGGUAAAGGCUCACCAAGCCUACGAUCGUUAACUGGUCUGAGAGGAUGAUCAGUCAGACUGGAACUGAGACACGGUCCAGACUCCUACGGGAGGCAGCAGUGAGGAAUCUUCCACAAUGGGCGAAAGCCUGAUGGAGCGACGCCGCGUGCAGGAUGAAGGCCUUCGGGUUGUAAACUGCUUUUAUAAGUGAAGAAUAUGACGGUAACUUAUGAAUAAGCACCGGCUAACUACGUGCCAGCCGCCGCAGUA
Molecule: ribosomal RNA, 458 nt
Filed under: uncultured bacterium
Lineage: Bacteria
Description: partial 16S ribosomal RNA
Rfam family: Bacterial small subunit ribosomal RNA
Source: RNAcentral